This 590-nucleotide long non-coding RNA is filed under the name Homo sapiens (human). Its description in RNAcentral is "PREDICTED lncRNA (TCONS_00265106)". Lineage: Eukaryota; Metazoa; Chordata; Mammalia; Primates; Hominidae. The record is from RNAcentral.
CACAAGCCCACAGGAAGUACUGCCAGGCUACUACUGAUGUUCAGACAGUUUCGCUCUUCUUGCCCAGGCCGGAGUGCAAUGGUGCGUUCUCGGCUCACCACAACCUCCAACUCCCGGGUUCAAGCGUUUCUCCUGCCUCAGCCUCCUGAGUAGCUGGGAUUACAGGCAUGCACCACCACACCCGGCUAAUUCUGUAUUUUUAGUAGAGAUGGGGUUUCUCUAUGUUGGUCAGGCUGGUCUCAAACUCCCGACCUCAGGUGAUCCACCUGCCUCAGCCUUCCAAAGUGCUGGGAUUACAGGCGUGAGCCCCCGUGCCCGGCCGGUGCUUGAGAUAUUUUGCAGAACCUGCACUUGAUGGAUCAGCUGGCACCACUCAGAUCAAUAAACUGGCUCAUCUGAUCUUGUGGCCCCCAGACCCAAGAACUGACUCAGCCCAAGAAGACAGCUCCAACUCCCAUGAUUUCAUCUCUGACCAAUCAGCAGCACUCCUGGCUCACUGGCUUCCCCCUACCCACCAAGUUAUCUUUAAAAACUCUGCUCCCCCAAUGCUCCGGGAGACUGAUUUGAGUAAUAAUAAAACUCCAGGCCGG